GAUGAACGCUGGCGGCGUGCCUAACACAUGCAAGUCGAGCGGCAGCGUCGGGUGCUUGCACCCUGUCGGCGAUCGGCGGACGGCUGAGUAACGCGUGGUAACGUUCCCCAAAGUGAGGAAUAACUGCUCGAAAGGGUAGCCAAUACAGCAUAGUAUCUUCGGAUCAAAGGAUUUAUCCGCUUAGGGAGCGGCUCGCGUCGGAUUAGGUAGUUGGUGAGGUAAUGGCUCACCAAGGCGACGAUCCGUAGCUGGUCUGAGAGGAUGACCAGCCAGACUGGAACUGAGACACGGUCCAGACUCCUACGGGAGGCAGCAGUGGGGAAUCUUCCACAAUGGGCGAAAGCCUGAUGGAGCAACGCCGCGUGAAGGACGAAGGCCUUCGGGUUGUAAACUGCUUUUAUAAGUGAAGAAUAUGACGGUAACUGAUGAAUAAGGAUCGGCUAACUACGUG
Molecule: ribosomal RNA, 451 nt
Filed under: uncultured bacterium
Lineage: Bacteria
Description: partial 16S ribosomal RNA
Rfam family: Bacterial small subunit ribosomal RNA
Source: RNAcentral